AUGGGAAAGAUUGACUCACGAGAGAUUGGAGAGGUAGAUUCACACAGUGAUAGUGCAAGCAGCUUGCUUCUAAUUAAAUAUGCGACUGAGUCUCAAUGCAUUUGCUUUCAGCCGCAGAGAGAAGAAGCUGCCCAAGAAUGGAAAGGAAGAAAUAUAUCACAUCAUCUGUCUGUCCACAGGCUUUCCUUGGGGCUUAUGAAGAUUCUUCAAUCUUCUCAAUCUUGCUGCAUCCCCCUCUCACUUGGCAGACUCUGCCUGAGCCCUCACACUGCUGCUUCCUUCACAUCAGUGGACUUUCCAGCCUCUUCUCUUCACACUGGCCCUUUAAGAAGACAUUUAAAGCAAUUAUUCAUGAAUGAAGGAGGGAAGAAAGGAGAGACAGAGAGAAUAUGGCUGAACUUGGCGCACCGCUGAUUCUGAUGAAUGUGAUCAUCAUCACUCGCUCCUGGCCUUCUGCGGUUCUUGCAACUCUGUUGACAUUCCUGCAUCCUGGGAUAUACAACACAUACUCAACCAUAAACCCUACGAGCCUGUUGUCUUGUGGAGGAAGCAGCCGAGCAGCACAGCUCUGGAAUAGAUCUCUCUUCCUCCCACAUCUCUCUGAACACUUCUUUCCUUCGUAUCCUCCCACAGGCCCACAAUUUAAAAAUUCUUAUUUCUCCCAGAAUACUAGAAAAGUGGUUGAAAGCACAUGGGUCCCAGUUACUGUUCUAAAAUUCACAUCUAAUUAUGCCACUUACCGUUUGAAAACACCUUUGAUACUUUCUCAUCUCCCAUGGGAUAAAAUAUGAACUUCCUAGAAUGACUUUCAUGUAUCUUUCCUUAUUUUGUAGUCCUGCCAUCUCAUGGCAUUCCUUCCCAUUGCUCUUCAUUCUCAUACUUGCACACCUCUUAACUUUGUUACCUCCAUGUCUUCUGCACCCUCUCCCCUCUACUAAGUAAGUUCUUUUCUUUGCCUGGUAAUCUCUUACUGUCCUUGAAGAUUCAGCUCAAAGUUCCCCUUUUGGCCGAGUGUAGUGGCUCACGCCUGUAAUCUCAACACUUUGGGAAGCCGAGGUGGGUGGAUCACUUGAGGUCAGGAGUUCGAGACCAGCCUGGUCAACACGGUGAAACCCCAUCUCUACUAAAAUACAAAAAUUAGCUGGGCAUGGUGGUGGGCGCUUAUAAUCCCAGCUACGCUACUUGGGAGGCUGAGGCAGGAGAAUCACUUGAACCCGGGAGGUAGAGGUUGCAGUGAGCCGAAAUUGUGCCACUGCACUCCAGCCUGGGUGACAGGGCAAGACUCCAUCUAAAAAAAAAAAAAAAAAAAAAGAAAGUACCACUUUCAUGCUUUCUUUGACAUUCUUAGCUGUUUACUUGUCUAAUACAAUUUUUACACCUACUUCUUCCUGGUUAGGGAUCUCCAGUAAGAGAGAACUCCAUUUAAAAGUUGUCUGCAGUGUCCUCUGUAUGGGAGGAGAUAGCAUGGGAGGAGAUAGAUAUGCUAUCUCCUUUGGAGUACAGAGUCAUGUAUUCAGCUGUCCCCUUGACACCUCCACUUGGCUGACCCAAAGGCAAUUCACAGUUGAUGUGUUCCUCACAGAUUUCCAACCAAGACCUGAUCUUCCUUAGUCUCUCCUAUUUCAGUGAAUGAUCCUAC
This 1639-nucleotide long non-coding RNA is filed under the name Pan paniscus (pygmy chimpanzee). RNAcentral's name for it is "lncRNA (ENSPPAG00000044432.1)". Lineage: Eukaryota; Metazoa; Chordata; Mammalia; Primates; Hominidae. The record is from RNAcentral.